CCCAAUUCAACCCGUUACCCAUUCCAUUGAAUCGCCUCAACAGCGCUACCUACUCUUUCCAGUCCCAGCUCGUCGGCACUGUCUCUACCUCUUCCUCCCUUGCUAUUUUACAGUCCCUGUUUGCCCAAGCCCUAGACAGCUAGACCGUAAACGCACUUAUUGGGUUACGGCAACAGCACAAGCAAACGUCGACGAUUUUUCGGCACCCGGUGAUUCUAAAGUUCCAUCCUGGUAUAAAAAAGGGAUGGACUUUUUUAAUCUUUUAUUGAGCUUUAUUUUGAACUUCCACUUCAGUUCUCCGUGUUCUGGAAAUGUAUGUUUUUAUUUGUUUCUGUUGUUUUGUUGAAAUUCCUUCACUUACCUUUUCUUGUUAGAAAGUUCGAAUUUUGAUUUUCCCAUCAGUCUUCUUUGCAUCUUUAACUGUUGAUUCUUCAUGUUACCUUGAUUAUUUUUGUAUGUGGGCAUCUAUUGUGUUUUGAAAUUCCUCCAAAAUUUGAGGUUUUCAGAAGAUUGUGG
This 516-nucleotide long non-coding RNA is filed under the name Olea europaea (common olive). RNAcentral describes it as "long non-coding RNA (OEUR_LNC008761)". Lineage: Eukaryota; Viridiplantae; Streptophyta; Magnoliopsida; Lamiales; Oleaceae. The record is from RNAcentral.